AGAUUUAAAAAUGAUGGGCUGAACGAGCCCGAUCUCGUCUGAUCUUGGAAGCUAAGCAGUGUCGGGCCUGGUUAGUACUAGGAUGGGAGACCACCUAGGAAUACCAGGUGCUGUAGGUGUU
Pteropus vampyrus (large flying fox) is the source of this 121-nucleotide ribosomal RNA. The record is from Ensembl. NCBI's taxonomy places the organism in Eukaryota, Metazoa, Chordata, Mammalia, Chiroptera, Pteropodidae.